GGAGGAAAAGAAACUAACAAGGAUUCCCCUAGUAACGGCGAGUGAAGAGGGAAGAGCCCAAGAUUGAAAGCUGGCGUCUUCGGCGUCCGCAUUGUAAUCUCAAGAAGUGUUUUCCGCUUCGGACCAAGCCUAAGUCCCCUGGAAAGGGGCAUCAUAGAGGGUGAUAAUCCCGUACAUGGCUUGGAGCGCCCGAGGCUUUGUGAUACGCUUUCUAAGAGUCGAGUUGUUUGGGAAUGCAGCUCAAAAUGGGUGGUAAAUGCCAUCUAAGGCUAAAUAUUGGGGAGAGACCGAUAGCGAACAAGUACAGUGAUGGAAAGAUGAAAAGAACUUUGAAAAGAGAGUUAAACAGUACGUGAAAUUGCCAAAAGGGAAGGGUAGGAGGUCAGAGAUGCGGCCUGGGAUUCAGCCUUGCUUUUGCUUGGUGUUUUUCCCAGAUUGCAGGCCAACGUCGGUUUUGGGCACUGGAGAAGGGUAGGAGGAACGUGGCACCUCUCGGGGUGUGUUAUAGCCUCCUACUGGAUACAGCGACCGAGACCGAGGACAGCAGCGUACUCGCAAGAGCGGGCCUUCGGGCACCUUUACGCU
This 585-nucleotide ribosomal RNA is filed under the name Moesziomyces antarcticus. RNAcentral's name for it is "LSU rRNA". It matches the Rfam family "Eukaryotic large subunit ribosomal RNA", at positions 52 to 615 of the family's 3401-position model. Lineage: Eukaryota; Fungi; Basidiomycota; Ustilaginomycetes; Ustilaginales; Ustilaginaceae. The record is from RNAcentral.